UUGGAGGGCAAGUCUGGUGCCGGCAGCCGCGGUAAUUCCAGCUCCAAUAGCGUAUAUUAAAGUUGUUGCAGUUAAAAAGCUCGUAGUUGAAUUUCGGGAUUGACGUGAUGGUCAUGCCUUAAGGGGUAUGAACUGUUACUGUUGAUUUCUCACCUUCUGGAGAAACUUGAUGUCCUUUAUUGGGUGUCUUGCGGAUCCAGGACCUUUACCUUGAAAAAAUUAGAGUGUUUAAAGCAGGCAUUUUUUGCUCGAAUACAUUAGCAUGGAAUAAUAGAAUAGGACGGCAUGGUUCUAUUUUGUUGGUUUCUAGGAUCACCGUAAUGAUUAAUAGGGAUAGUUGGGGGCAUUAGUAUUCAAUUGUCAGAGGUGAAAUUCUUGGAUUUAUUGAAGACUAACUACUGCGAAAGCAUUUGCCAAGGAUGUUUUCAUUAAUCAAGAACGAAAGUUAGGGGAUCGAAGACGAUCAGAUACCGUCGUAGUCUUAACCAUAAACUAUGCCGACUAGGAAUCAGACGAUGUUAAUUUUUUAAUGACUCGUUUGGCACCUUACGGGAAACCAAAGUGUUUGGGUUC
RNAcentral lists this ribosomal RNA (573 nucleotides) under uncultured Glomeromycotina. RNAcentral's name for it is "SSU rRNA". It matches the Rfam family "Eukaryotic small subunit ribosomal RNA", at positions 548 to 1114 of the family's 1831-position model. Lineage: Eukaryota; Fungi; Glomeromycota. The record is from RNAcentral.